This 235-nucleotide ribosomal RNA is filed under the name Eucalyptolyma maideni. RNAcentral's name for it is "partial 28S ribosomal RNA". The record is from RNAcentral. Lineage: Eukaryota; Metazoa; Arthropoda; Insecta; Hemiptera; Aphalaridae.
GCCACGAGACCGAACAAGUGGAAAGUUGAAAAGAACUUUGAAGAGAGAGUUCAAGAGUACGUGAAACCGUUCAGGGGGAGAAACCCAAAAGAUCGAAUGGGGAGAUUCAGCGCGUGCACUUCUCCUAGUAGGACGUCGCGACCCGUUGGGUGUCGGCCGGUCGACUGGGACGGCCGACUGCCCGGCGGGGCCGCCGUUCGGCUCGGUCUCGCUCGUUGUCAUGCCUCGAACUCGG